This is a long non-coding RNA of Epinephelus lanceolatus (giant grouper), 394 nucleotides long. RefSeq lists it as uncharacterized. NCBI's taxonomy places the organism in Eukaryota, Metazoa, Chordata, Actinopteri, Perciformes, Serranidae. The record is from RefSeq and is a predicted model, not a curated record.
CUGAACUAUCUGCAGAGGUCUCCUCUUCUCCGAGAGAAAUGGACCAGAUAUAUGCACAGAGAGAAGAUGCCUGGAUUUGCCUCAUGACAUCAGCUGAUCAGAUAUUAAGAUGACUGCAUCUCAGAACAUGAGGCCCUGUGUUCACCUCUGAUAGACCAGAUGAACCUGCGGAGCAGCAGCAGAGUUUCUUCGAAAGUGUAGUACCUGAGCCUUGGGGACGGACAUUUGGAGCCAUCUACAGAUAACGUAUGCAUUGAAGACGUUUGAAAGUGAGAGUUUUGCAUCUGAACACUUUGAAUAAAUGCUUCAGUACAUGUCUGAACAAUAUUGGGGCAUGUGUAAAGACAGCAGUAUACCUUUGUGAUAUUUUGUUGAUCAGAUAUUCAAUAAAAGG